RNAcentral lists this ribosomal RNA (494 nucleotides) under uncultured bacterium. RNAcentral describes it as "bacterial SSU rRNA". It matches the Rfam family "Bacterial small subunit ribosomal RNA", at positions 24 to 518 of the family's 1533-position model. The record is from RNAcentral.
UCAGGAUGAACGCUGGCGGCGUGCCUAACACAUGCAAGUCGAACGGACUAUAUUUUACAGAGACUCGGUUGAAGUGAGUUAUAGUUAGUGGCGGACGGGUGAGUAACGCGUGGAGAACCUGCCCUUCAGAGGGGGAUAACACCCAGAAAUGGGUGCUAAUACCGCAUAAGCGCACGGUACCGCAUGGUACAGUGUGAAAAAACUCAGGUGCUGAAGGAUGGCUCCGCGUUGGAUUAGCCAGUUGGCGGGGUAACGGCCCACCAAAGCGACGAUCCAUAGCCGGCCUGAGAGGGUGAACGGCCACAUUGGGACUGAGACACGGCCCAGACUCCUACGGGAGGCAGCAGUGGGGAAUAUUGCACAAUGGGGGGAACCCUGAUGCAGCGACGCCGCGUGAAGGAAGAAGUAUCUCGGUAUGUAAACUUCUAUCAGCAGGGAAGAAGAAAGACGGUACCUGACUAAGAAGCCCCGGCUAACUACGUGCCAGCAGCGGC